ACGUGCAUGCGAAGUAGAGGGUCUGCACAUCCAGACCUCUAUAAAAGUUUAUGUCAGAUAAUUUGAGAUUUGAUCUCUGGUUCUAAUACUAAUCAGAUAAGAAUUUGAUCCUUAAUCAUAUAGAUAAAUAAAAAAAAAUUUUAGAUACAACUGUUGGAAAAUAUGUCCCAAAAAGCCAAUCGUCAAGCUGUUGACGGUUG
This 200-nucleotide long non-coding RNA is filed under the name Elaeis guineensis (African oil palm). Its description in RNAcentral is "long non-coding RNA (EGUI_LNC061386)". The record is from RNAcentral. Lineage: Eukaryota; Viridiplantae; Streptophyta; Magnoliopsida; Arecales; Arecaceae.